UGCGCCCCAGUUAAGGUUUUAGGGCCCGACCUCCCGUCACGGGGCCGAUCAAUUUGGUCGAACUCGAUGGCUCGUCUUUCUCUCUUUCGCUCUCUCCUCCCGCUCUCGCGGUUCUUCUCUGAAACCCUUCCGUAUAAAGCUCCAGAUACUUUUACCAGACCAAGCCUUAGUUGCAAACCAUGGGUUCCGAUGCUGAUAUGGAGGACUACGGGUUCGAGUACUCCGACGAGGAGCCUGAGGAGCAGGAUGUUGACAUCGAGAACCAAUACUACAACUCUAAAGAUCGUGGCUGAAGGACGUACUGCCAAAGGUAUCUGUAUCUCCAUCGUUGUUGGUAGCCAAAUUUUGUUGUCCUCACUUAGCAAUCAUUUUGUGCAAGUCCGUAACUGCUCGGCUAAUCAUCCUUAUAAGCAGGUGGGUAAAUCUUAUAUAUUCCUAUUCUGUUUGCAGCCCAAUUAUAAAUGAGCUUGAAUUAAUGUGAAAUCUGCAAAAAAUGAUCCCCAUGGCAUUGGAAGCCAUAUCUGACUUGUGAGGCCAGAAAAAGCAGGGCAAUCUCUCCAGCUAACACUUUUACUACUUGAACUAAAUAUUAUAAGUGAGCCCAAAUGCCAAACCCAAAUCUGGAUCACACUUGAUUCCAUACAGUGUGCAAUUGCAGUAACAAAUCAGGCCUAAAUGACCCAUAAUUUGCAUUUACACUCUGCAGUCCACUAAGAUUGAAUAUAGCUCUCCAUAAUUUUCAUAAGCUUACACAAAGUGCACUGCAGACUGUAUCAUAUAUCAAGCAACGAAAGACGCUCUACAAGGAACACAGCUCUCUGUUGUAUGACCAUCCUAGGUUUUUCCCUGUUGAGUUUUAGUAUGCGAUAAAGGCAACAUGUAUUAGCUUAUAUGACUCUUUUGUCAGCUUAUUCUAUAUGAUGGUUGGUGCAAUAAGUUCUUUUAUGCG
Molecule: long non-coding RNA, 949 nt
Organism: Musa acuminata AAA Group (dessert banana)
Lineage: Eukaryota; Viridiplantae; Streptophyta; Magnoliopsida; Zingiberales; Musaceae
Exons: 3
Source: RefSeq, a predicted model, not a curated record